GAUGAAGAAUGCAGCGAAAUGCGAUAAGUAAUGCGAAUUGAAGAAUUCCGUGAGUCAUCGAAUCUUUGAACGCACAUUGCGCCCUCUGGUAUUCCGGAGGGCAUGCCUGUCUGAGCGUCAUUGUCAACCCUCAAGCUCAGCUUGCUGUUGGGUCCCCGUCGUUGCUUUAACGGCGGACCCGAAAGGUAAUGGCAGAGUCCGUGAGACCCUAGACGCAGCGAGCUUCUAGCACGCGUCUGGACGUUUUUCGGGCUCGGUCUUAACUAGAUGAUAACUUCCGAUUGACCUCAGAUCAGGUAGGGAUACCCGCUGAACUUAAGCAUAUCAAUAAGCGGAGGA
RNAcentral lists this unclassified non-coding RNA (339 nucleotides) under soil metagenome. RNAcentral describes it as "partial contains 5.8S ribosomal RNA, internal transcribed spacer 2, and large subunit ribosomal RNA". The stretch from base 1 to 120 matches the Rfam family "5.8S ribosomal RNA", at positions 35 to 154 of the family's 154-position model. The record is from RNAcentral.